This 1033-nucleotide ribosomal RNA is filed under the name Occultibambusa chiangraiensis. RNAcentral describes it as "SSU rRNA". It matches the Rfam family "Eukaryotic small subunit ribosomal RNA", at positions 78 to 1119 of the family's 1831-position model. Lineage: Eukaryota; Fungi; Ascomycota; Dothideomycetes; Pleosporales; Occultibambusaceae. The record is from RNAcentral.
ACCGUGAAACUGCGAAUGGCUCAUUAAAUCAGUUAUCGUUUAUUUGAUAGUACCUUACUACUUGGAUACCUGUGGUAAUUCUAGAGCUAAUACAUGCUAAAAACCCCGACUUCGGGAGGGGUGUGUUUAUUAGAUAAAAAACCAAUGCCCUUCGGGGCUCCUUUGGUGAUUCAUGAUAACCUAACGGAUCGCAUGGCCUUGCGCCGGCGACGGUUCAUUCAAAUUUCUGCCCUAUCAACUUUCGAUGGUAAGGUCUUGGCUUACCAUGGUUUCAACGGGUAACGGGGAGUUAGGGCUCGACUCCGGAGAAGGAGCCUGAGAAACGGCUACUACAUCCAAGGAAGGCAGCAGGCGCGCAAAUUACCCAAUCCCGACACGGGGAGGUAGUGACAAUAAAUACUGAUACAGGGCUCUUUUGGGUCUUGUAAUCGGAAUGAGUACAAUUUAAAUCCCUUAACGAGGAACAAUUGGAGGGCAAGUCUGGUGCCAGCAGCCGCGGUAAUUCCAGCUCCAAUAGCGUAUAUUAAAGUUGUUGCAGUUAAAAAGCUCGUAGUUGAACCUUGGGCCUGGCUGGCCGGUCCGCCUCACCGCGUGUACUGGUCCGGCCGGGCCUUUCUUUCUGGGGAGUCGCAUGCCCUUCACUGGGUGUGUCGGCGGACCAGGACUUUUACUGUGAACAAAUUAGAGUGUUCAAAGCAGGCCUUUGCUCGAAUACAUUAGCAUGGAAUAAUAGAAUAGGACGUGCGGUCCUAUUUUGUUGGUUUCUAGGAUCGCCGUAAUGAUUAAUAGGCUCAGUCGGGGGCAUCAGUAUUCAAUUGUCAGAGGUGAAAUUCUUGGAUUUAUUGAAGACUAACUACUGCGAAAGCAUUUGCCAAGGAUGUUUUCAUUAAUCAGUGAACGAAAGUUAGGGGAUCGAAGACGAUCAGAUACCGUCGUAGUCUUAACCGUAAACUAUGCCGACUAGGGAUCGGGCGAUGUUUCUAUCUUGACUCGCUCGGCACCUUACGAGAAAUCAAAGUUUGUGGCUCUGGGG